AGAGGGAUAGCUGGGUCAAAUGGUGGUUCCAUUCCCAGAUUUCCAAGGAAUAUCCAUACUGCUUUCCCUAUUGGUUGUACCAAUUUGCAGUCCCACCAGCAAU
Molecule: microRNA precursor, 103 nt
Filed under: Marmota monax (woodchuck)
Lineage: Eukaryota; Metazoa; Chordata; Mammalia; Rodentia; Sciuridae
Source: RNAcentral